RNAcentral lists this ribosomal RNA (349 nucleotides) under Malassezia sympodialis. RNAcentral describes it as "eukaryotic LSU rRNA". It matches the Rfam family "Eukaryotic large subunit ribosomal RNA", at positions 94 to 439 of the family's 3401-position model. The record is from RNAcentral. Lineage: Eukaryota; Fungi; Basidiomycota; Malasseziomycetes; Malasseziales; Malasseziaceae.
CGAAGCGGGAAGAGCUCAAAUUUGAAAGCUGGCACCUCCGGUGUCCGCGUUGUAAUCUCGAGACGUGUUUUCCGUGCGGCUCUAUGGACAAGUCCCUUGGAACAGGGCAUCGUAGAGGGUGAAAAUCCCGUACUUGCCAUGGAUGUACCGUGCUUUGUGAUACACGCUCUAAGAGUCGAGUUGUUUGGGAUUGCAGCUCAAAAUGGGUGGUAGACUCCAUCUAAAGCUAAAUAUCGGGGAGAGACCGAUAGCGAACAAGUACCGUGAGGGAAAGAUGAAAAGCACUUUGGAAAGAGAGUUAAAAGUACGUGAAAUUGUCGAAAGGGAAGCGCUUGAAGUCAGCCAUGCU